GGGUCCAUUCGUCGGUGACUCCUCGUGGUGGAGAGGAAUGUCGGGAGGUGGAUCUGGAGGCCCCACCUUGAAAAAAGCCUGUUGGAUCCCCAAAUCUGGCGCCUGGUUGGUCUCCUUCUUGUUUCUGGUUCUGCUGCCAUGGAGGUAUGAGGAAAGGGAUGAGAGGGGUAAGAUCAGGUGGCAGACGAACUAUCUUUGUUAAUCCUUGGAGCAAACCGAUUGCAGCUAUGCUUCCUCUACAUGAUGAUAAGUUGCAGUAUCUUAUGGUCGAAUGGCGACCAAUCGGAGUUCUGGUGAUGGCUGGCUCCUUUCUUUCCUCCCGGCUGUUGUACCAAAAGGGAGGCAGUUAUGUUGCUUCAACCUGGCGAUUCAAGACUCUACCUCCAGCGGCUCGUCGGUGGUGCUCUAGCCAUCCCUCUGCCCUGGUUUCGUCCCCGGCGGCAGCGGGAUUGGGCCAGAGCUGAAGCUUGCGACGAGGACUCGAUUGCAUUUUAGCUUCGUCUUCUGGGAUCAUGUUUGCAAAGUGUGUGGACCGGGUUGUAACUUUUAUUUUUCUAAUGGGUCCAUCUGUAAAAUGUACUUGGUUGUCUGUCUAAUAUGAGUCUGGGUUCUUCGGGACCCUACCUCUGUUAAAAAAAAGGCGUCUUGCCGUGUGCACCUAACACCUGUUUUUUUUGCGAAUUAACACGCGUUAUUUUUGCACACAUGCAUGGGUAAAAUUGUGGUAGAUGAAAGCAAACUCUUAGCCGAUGACAGUCUUUGCGUCCCAUGCGUUGGAGAGCAAGCGAGGUUUUUAUUUUAUCUUAAAAGAAGUCCAAGAGAGCGAGC
This 828-nucleotide long non-coding RNA is filed under the name Triticum aestivum (bread wheat). RNAcentral describes it as "long non-coding RNA (TAES_LNC006193)". The record is from RNAcentral. Lineage: Eukaryota; Viridiplantae; Streptophyta; Magnoliopsida; Poales; Poaceae.